This 484-nucleotide ribosomal RNA is filed under the name uncultured bacterium. RNAcentral's name for it is "partial 16S ribosomal RNA". It matches the Rfam family "Bacterial small subunit ribosomal RNA", at positions 30 to 507 of the family's 1533-position model. The record is from RNAcentral.
AUUGAACGCUGGCGGCAGGCCUAACACAUGCAAGUCGAGCGGAUGAAGGGAGCUUGCUCCUGGAUUCAGCGGCGGACGGGUGAGUAAUGCCUAGGAAUCUGCCUGGUAGUGGGGGAUAACGUCCGGAAACGGGCGCUAAUACCGCAUACGUCCUGAGGGAGAAAGUGGGGGAUCUUCGGACCUCACGCUAUCAGAUGAGCCUAGGUCGGAUUAGCUAGUUGGUGGGGUAAAGGCCUACCAAGGCGACGAUCCGUAACUGGUCUGAGAGGAUGAUCAGUCACACGGGAAGUGAGACACGGCCCAGACUCCUACGGGAGGCAGCAGUGGGGAAUAUUGGACAAUGGGCGAAAGCCUGAUCCAGCCAUGCCGCGUGUGUGAAGAAGGUCUUCGGAUUGUAAAGCACUUUAAGUUGGGAGGAAGGGCAGUAAGUUAAUACCUUGCUGUUUUGACGUUACCAACAGAAUAAGCACCGGCUAACUUCGUG